UUUUUUUUUAGGAGAAUCACUUUAAUUAAAGGCCUCCCAGAAACUUUUGCAUAUUUGUCUUCUCAAGUAUAGGUCUCAGCCAGAAGUGUUGCAGAUUCACUGUGGCACUACUGAUAUUCACAGCUGCACAUGGAGUAUCACAGGGCUUCUUAACAUACUGUGGCCACUCGUAUCUGAUGAAAGUGAAAGUGAAAGUCGAAAGAUGGUAACGAUAACCCUGUAUGCA
This 226-nucleotide long non-coding RNA is filed under the name Bos mutus (wild yak). RNAcentral describes it as "lncRNA (ENSBMUG00000019487.1)". Lineage: Eukaryota; Metazoa; Chordata; Mammalia; Artiodactyla; Bovidae. The record is from RNAcentral.